This 634-nucleotide ribosomal RNA is filed under the name Klebsiella pneumoniae subsp. pneumoniae. Its description in RNAcentral is "partial 23S ribosomal RNA". It matches the Rfam family "Bacterial large subunit ribosomal RNA", at positions 873 to 1509 of the family's 2925-position model. Lineage: Bacteria; Pseudomonadati; Pseudomonadota; Gammaproteobacteria; Enterobacterales; Enterobacteriaceae. The record is from RNAcentral.
GGUAGCGCCUCGUGAAUUCAUCUUCGGGGGUAGAGCACUGUUUCGGCUAGGGGGUCAUCCCGACUUACCAACCCGAUGCAAACUACGAAUACCGAAGAAUGUUAUCACGGGAGACACACGGCGGGUGCUAACGUCCGUCGUGAAGAGGGAAACAACCCAGACCGCCAGCUAAGGUCCCAAAGUCAUGGUUAAGUGGGAAACGAUGUGGGAAGGCACAGACAGCCAGGAUGUUGGCUUAGAAGCAGCCAUCAUUUAAAGAAAGCGUAAUAGCUCACUGGUCGAGUCGGCCUGCGCGGAAGAUGUAACGGGGCUAAACCAUGCACCGAAGCUGCGGCAGCGACACGAUGUGUUGUUGGGUAGGGGAGCGUUCUGUAAGCCUGCGAAGGUGUGCUGUGAGGCAUGCUGGAGGUAUCAGAAGUGCGAAUGCUGACAUAAGUAACGAUAAAGCGGGUGAAAAGCCCGCUCGCCGGAAGACCAAGGGUUCCUGUCCAACGUUAAUCGGGGCAGGGUGAGUCGACCCCUAAGGCGAGGCCGAAAGGCGUAGUCGAUGGGAAACAGGUUAAUAUUCCUGUACUUGGUGUUACUGCGAAGGGGGGACGGAGAAGGCUAUGUUAGCCGGGCGACGGUUGUCCCG